This 230-nucleotide ribosomal RNA is filed under the name uncultured bacterium. Its description in RNAcentral is "partial 16S ribosomal RNA". It matches the Rfam family "Bacterial small subunit ribosomal RNA", at positions 100 to 339 of the family's 1533-position model. The record is from RNAcentral.
GAACGGGUGAGUAAUGCUUAGGAAUCUGCCUAGUAGUGGGGGAUAACUUGGGGAAACUCAAGCUAAUACCGCAUACGACCUACGGGUGAAAGGGGGCGCAAGCUCUCGCUAUUAGAUGAGCCUAAGUCGGAUUAGCUAGUUGGUGGGGUAAAGGCCUACCAAGGCGACGAUCUGUAGCUGGUCUGAGAGGAUGAUCAGCCACACUGGGACUGAGACACGGCCCAGACUCC